CAGCCGCCGCGGGAAUACGAAGGGGGCUAGCGUUGUUCGGAAUUACUGGGCGUAAAGCGCACGUAGGCGGAUAUUUAAGUCAGGGGUGAAAUCCCGCAGCUCAACUGCGGAACUGCCUUUGAUACUGGGUAUCUUGAGUAUGGAAGAGGUUAGUGGAAUUGCGAGUGUAGGGGUGAAAUUCGUAGAUAUUCGCAGGAACACCAGUGGCGAAAGCGGCUCACUGGACCAUAACUGACGCUGAUGCACGAAAGCUAGGGGAGCAAACAGGAUUAGAUACCCGUGUAGUCCCUGUCUCUUAUAA
This 301-nucleotide ribosomal RNA is filed under the name uncultured bacterium. RNAcentral's name for it is "partial 16S ribosomal RNA". It matches the Rfam family "Bacterial small subunit ribosomal RNA", at positions 509 to 809 of the family's 1533-position model. The record is from RNAcentral.